UUGACCUCGGAUCAGGUAGGGAUACCCGCUGAACUUAAGCAUAUCAAUAAGCGGAGGAAAAGAAACCAACAGGGAAANGGC
Molecule: ribosomal RNA, 81 nt
Filed under: Ophiocordyceps sinensis
Lineage: Eukaryota; Fungi; Ascomycota; Sordariomycetes; Hypocreales; Ophiocordycipitaceae
Description: partial 26S ribosomal RNA
Rfam family: Eukaryotic large subunit ribosomal RNA
Source: RNAcentral